Molecule: ribosomal RNA, 330 nt
Filed under: uncultured bacterium
Lineage: Bacteria
Description: bacterial SSU rRNA
Rfam family: Bacterial small subunit ribosomal RNA
Source: RNAcentral
UGCGCAGGCGGUGCUUUAAGUCAGAUGUGAAAUACCCGGGCUUAACCUGGGGGGUGCAUUUGAAACUGGAGCACUUGAGUGCAGGAGAGGAAAGUGGAAUUCCUAGUGUAGCGGUGAAAUGCGUAGAUAUUAGGAGGAACACCAGUGGCGAAGGCGACUUUCUGGACUGUAACUGACGCUGAGGCACGAAAGCGUGGGGAGCAAACAGGAUUAGAUACCCUGGUAGUCCACGCUGUAAACGAUGGAUACUAGGUGUAGGGAGCGAUAGCUCUCUGUGCCGCAGCUAACGCAAUAAGUAUCCCGCCUGGGGAGUACGAUCGCAAGGUUGAA